Molecule: non-coding RNA, 148 nt
Filed under: Gorilla gorilla gorilla (western lowland gorilla)
Lineage: Eukaryota; Metazoa; Chordata; Mammalia; Primates; Hominidae
Source: Rfam by way of RNAcentral
GCUGGUUGUGGUGGCGCACACCUGUAAUCCCAGCUACUUGGGAGGCUGAGGCAGGAGAAUUGCUUGAUCCCAGGAGGCGGAGGUUGCAGUGAGCCAAGAUCAUGCCACUGCACUCCAGCCUGGGCAACAGAGUGAAACCCUGUCUCAA